Long non-coding RNA from Topomyia yanbarensis, 1096 nucleotides. RefSeq lists it as uncharacterized. The transcript has 4 exons. NCBI's taxonomy places the organism in Eukaryota, Metazoa, Arthropoda, Insecta, Diptera, Culicidae. The record is from RefSeq and is a predicted model, not a curated record.
AAUUAUUUGAUUAGAUGUUAACUCAAUUUGAACAUCUUCAACACACACAUUAUACUAAGUUAAAGUUAAGCGUGUAUGAAUCCACCACAAGGGCCGCCUGCCAGCUUGAAAGUGAAACAUCAUCAACAAACUUUCUGCAGUAACUAUAUCCAUUCUACCUGUCAGUUGCGAAGAGAGUGUUUCCGCUUACUAAAAAAAGGAAUCACAAUAAAAAGUAAUGGUGUAAGGUGCAGCCGUGAUUCCUGCUUCGUGCGCUUAAACCGGCUGAAAAAAUACUCGUGCGGGACAGAACACACAAAUUACAAAACGAUUUUACUUUGGAAAGGGUCGCACGGAAAAAAAUACGCGAUUCCGACAGUCACACGAGUGUUGAUCCGGUCAAAACUCAAGCGUACAAGCAGGAACACAACGUCCGUUCACACAAGGCCUGUUGAUCUAAUCAGGGUUGAUUCCGGAUCGUACCGGAUUGCACUGGGAAGAUAAGAAUCCUGAAGGUAUCAGUACCAGCAAGCAGUGAUCUGCGAACGAAAAGCGAUACGCUUUUAACCAGCCUAGCAAACACGAAACGGAAAACGCCUUCCAAGAGAAGGCUCCUUUUCCGACACUUAAAGUGUCCUACUACAAGCAUCGGGACUCAGAUACCGGCUCAUCAGAAGUUCAAUCAAGGCGUCGGUCGAACAGGAACAAUUCGCAGGCAGAUCAGUUGGUGGAAGGAAUCUGGUCACCGCAGCUGUGCACCUGGACGCAGGUGAGCAGCCUGAGUACAAGCGGGUAAUAGGAGACCGUGACGCAAUAGGUCCCACGGUCGAGCUCAAGGGGAUUUUGUCACUAACGAGGGCACGCCGGAUGGAACGGAAGGUGGCGAGACACACGGUUCAUAUCGUGAGAUGCCGCAGCGGAUGGCGGGGCUGUGAGUACUAGCUUUUAAGAAGUGAAUAGAAUCAGUAGGCUGGAAGGGCAGAGCAGCAGGGAUAGGUGGAUAGAAGAAGUCAGAGAAAAAAGAGGAAUGUGUGAAGAGAGAUGAAUAAAGGGGUAGGAUGUUCAAAAUGACACGUGUAGGUUUUGGUUUUAUGAGCAGUCGGCCCAGUUGAGGCAA